GACGAACGCUGGCGGCGUGCUUAACACAUGCAAGUCGAACGGAAAGGCCCUGCUUUUGUGGGGUGCUCGAGUGGCGAACGGGUGAGUAACACGUGAGUAACCUGCCCUUGACUUUGGGAUAACUUCAGGAAACUGGGGCUAAUACCGGAUAGGAGCUCCUGCUGCAUGGUGGGGGUUGGAAAGUUUCGGCGGUUGGGGAUGGACUCGCGGCUUAUCAGCUUGUUGGUGGGGUAGUGGCUUACCAAGGCUUUGACGGGUAGCCGGCCUGAGGGUGACCGGCCACAUUGGGACUGAGAUACGGACCAGACUCCUACGGGAGGCAGCAGUGGGGAAUAUUGCACAAUGGGCGGAAGCCUGAUGCAGCAACGCCGCGUGCGGGAUGACGGCCUUCGGGUUGUAAACCGCUUUCGCCUGUGACGAAGCGUGAGUGACGGUAAUGGGUAAAGAAGCACCGGCUAACUACGUG
This 466-nucleotide ribosomal RNA is filed under the name uncultured bacterium. RNAcentral's name for it is "partial 16S ribosomal RNA". It matches the Rfam family "Bacterial small subunit ribosomal RNA", at positions 28 to 507 of the family's 1533-position model. The record is from RNAcentral.